CGAACGGAAGUUUAGCAAUUAAACUUUAGUGGCGAACGGGUGAGUAACGCGUAAGCAAUCUGCCCCUAAGACGAGGAUAACAGUUGGAAACGACUGCUAAGACUGGAUAGGAGACAAGAAGGCAUCUUCUUGUUUUUAAAAGACCUAGCAAUAGGUAUGCUUAGGGAGGAGCUUGCGUCACAUUAGUUAGUUGGUGGGGUAAAGGCCUACCAAGACUAUGAUGUGUAGCCGGGCUGAGAGGUUGAACGGCCACAUUGGGACUGAGACACGGCCCAAACUCCUACGGGAGGCAGCAGUAGGGAAUUUUCGGCAAUGGAGGAAACUCUGACCGAGCAACGCCGCGUGAACGAUGAAGUAUUUCGGUACGUAAAGUUCUUUUAUUAGGGAAGAAUAAAUGAUGGAAAAAUCAUUCUGACGGUACCUAAUGAAUAAGCCCCGGCUAACUAUGUGCCAGCAGCCGCGGUAAUACAUAGGGGGCAAGCGUUAUCCGGAAUUAUUGGGCGUAAAGGGUGCGUAGGCGGUUAAAUAAGUUUAUGGUCUAAGUGCAAUGCUCAACAUUGUGAUGCUAUAAAAACUGUUUAGCUAGAGUAAGAUAGAGGCAAGUGGAAUUCCAUGUGUAGUGGUAAAAUGCGUAAAUAUAUGGAGGAACACCAGUAGCGAAGGCGGCUUGCUGGGUCUUUACUGACGCUGAGGCACGAAAGCGUGGGGAGCAAACAGGAUUAGAUACCCUGGUAGUCCACGCCGUAAACGAUGAGUACUAAACGUUGGGUAAAACCAGUGUUGAAGUUAACACAUUAAGUACUCCGCCUGAGUAGUACGUACGCAAGUAUGAAACUUAAAGGAAUUGACGGGACUCCGCACAAGCGGUGGAUCAUGUUGUUUAAUUCGAAGGUACCCGAAAAACCUCACCAGGUCUUGACAUGCUUCUGCAAAGCUGUAGAAACACAGUGGAGGUUAUCAGUUGCACAGGUGGUGCAUGGUUGUCGUCAGCUCGUGUCGUGAGAUGUUGGGUUAAGUCCCGCAACGAGCGCAACCCUUAUUGUUAGUUACCAGCACGUAAUGGUGGGGACUUUAGCAAGACUGCCAGUGAUAAAUUGGAGGAAGGUGGGGACGACGUCAAAUCAUCAUGCCCCUUAUGACCUGGGCUACAAACGUGAUACAAUGGCUGUUACAAAGGGUAGCUGAAGCGCAAGUUUUUGGCGAAUCUCAAAAAAACAGUCUCAGUUCGGAUUGAAGUCUGCAACUCGACUUCAUGAAGUUGGAAUCGCUAGUAAUCGCGAAUCAGCAUGUCGCGGUGAAUACGUUCUCGGGGUUUGUACACACCGCCCGUCAAACCACGAAAGUUGGCAAUACCCAAAGCCGGUGGCCUAACUUCGCAAGAAGAGGGAACCGUCUAAGGUAGGGUCGAUGAUUGGGGUUAAG
Molecule: ribosomal RNA, 1422 nt
Filed under: Chinaberry witches'-broom phytoplasma
Lineage: Bacteria; Bacillati; Mycoplasmatota; Mollicutes; Acholeplasmatales; Acholeplasmataceae
Description: bacterial SSU rRNA
Rfam family: Bacterial small subunit ribosomal RNA
Source: RNAcentral